AUUUUAUUGACAUCAUUCAGACUCUCUCUGGACUUUACAUAAGAUAUUGAGAUAACUCCAAAAGGUUUGAAAAGCGAGAAAUUUUGAAGUAUCAUGAAAAGAUGUAUUUAGCUAAUAAUGCUAUUUGUUCAUGGUAUGUAUAUUUCUAAUAACAUUUUGAUAUCAUUUUGAGUAGGGAAAACAAAACAAAAACAUAUGUCAAUCCUUAUUUGAAUGGUAAAUUGACAUUUUUAAAAUCC
Molecule: long non-coding RNA, 239 nt
Filed under: Mytilus galloprovincialis (Mediterranean mussel)
Lineage: Eukaryota; Metazoa; Mollusca; Bivalvia; Mytilida; Mytilidae
Source: RNAcentral